Molecule: ribosomal RNA, 462 nt
Filed under: uncultured bacterium
Lineage: Bacteria
Description: bacterial SSU rRNA
Rfam family: Bacterial small subunit ribosomal RNA
Source: RNAcentral
GAUGAACGCUGGCGGCGUGCUUAACACAUGCAAGUCGAACGUGAUCCAUUAGCAAUAGUGGUGAAAGUGGCGAACGGGUGAGUAACACGUAGAUAACCUGCCCUGAAGAGGGGGAUAACGACUGGAAACGGUCGCUAAUACCGCAUAAUGUCUUUUAGUAGGGAUACUGGAAGAAGAAAACUCUGGUGCUUCAGGAGGGGUCUGCGUCCGAUUAGCUAGUUGGUGAGGUAAAGGCUCACCAAGGCGACGAUCGGUAGCUGGUCUGAGAGGACGAUCAGCCACACGGGAACUGAGACACGGUCCCGACUCCUACGGGGGGCAGCAGUGAGGAAUAUUGCCCAAUGGGGGAAACCCUGAGGCAGCAACGCCGCGUGGAGGAAGAAGGUCUUUACGAUCGUAAACUUCUUUUGUGAGGGAAGAGGAAGGACGGUACCUCAUGAAUAAGUCACGGCUAACUACGUG